AGAGAUGCACGGCCUGCGUGAUUUGCCUGCAGGGUCUGGGGCUCUGAGUAAAUUGGAUGCUUAUCUUGCUGGGAUCCUCGCUCUGAUAUGUCCUCCAUCGGAGGUCUAUAUUGAGCAGAUUCUUUUUGGUAUUGGGUGGUGGAACCGGAGCGUGCUCCAUCCACUCCAUGCAUUGACCUGGUAUUGCAGUGCUUCCAGGACCGGUGCAAAAAAA
This 214-nucleotide small nuclear RNA is filed under the name Crocodylus porosus (Australian saltwater crocodile). RNAcentral describes it as "U2 spliceosomal RNA (ENSCPRG00005013530.1)". It matches the Rfam family "U2 spliceosomal RNA", at positions 51 to 192 of the family's 192-position model. From Rfam's summary of the family: U2 is a small nuclear RNA (snRNA) component of the spliceosome (involved in pre-mRNA splicing). Complementary binding between U2 snRNA (in an area lying towards the 5' end but 3' to hairpin I) and the branchpoint sequence (BPS) of the intron results the bulging out of an unpaired adenosine, on the BPS, which initiates a nucleophilic attack at the intronic 5' splice site, thus starting the first of two transesterification reactions that mediate splicing. Lineage: Eukaryota; Metazoa; Chordata; Crocodylia; Crocodylidae. The record is from RNAcentral.